This 634-nucleotide ribosomal RNA is filed under the name Alteromonas macleodii. Its description in RNAcentral is "bacterial SSU rRNA". It matches the Rfam family "Bacterial small subunit ribosomal RNA", at positions 28 to 669 of the family's 1533-position model. The record is from RNAcentral. Lineage: Bacteria; Pseudomonadati; Pseudomonadota; Gammaproteobacteria; Alteromonadales; Alteromonadaceae.
AUUGAACGCUGGCGGCAGGCCUAACACAUCGGUAACAUUUCUAGCUUGCUAGAAGAUGACGAGUGGCGGACGGGUGAGUAAUGCUUGGGAACUUGCCUUUGCGAGGGGGAUAACAGUUGGAAACGACUGCUAAUACCGCAUAAUGUCUUCGGACCAAACGGGGCUUCGGCUCCGGCGCAAAGAGAGGCCCAAGUGAGAUUAGCUAGUUGGUAAGGUAGGCGGCUUACCAAGGCGACGAUCCUAGCUGUUCUGAGAGGAAGAUCAGCCACACUGGGACUGAGACACGGCCAGCUGACUCCUACGGGAGGCAAGUGGGGAAUAUUGCACAAUGGGGGAAACCCUGAUGCAGCCAUGCCGGCUGUGUGUGAAGAAGGCCUUCGUUGUAAAGCACUUUCAGUUGUGAGGAAAAGUUAGUAGUUAAUACCUGUAGCCGUGACGUUAACAACAGAAGGAAGCACCGGCUAACUCCGUGCCAGCAGCCGCGGUAAUACGGAGGGUGCGAGCGUUAAUCGGAAUUACUGGGCGUAAAGCGCACGCAGGCGGUUUGUUAAGCUAGAUGUGAAAGCCCCGGGCUCAACCUGGGAUGGUCAUUUAGAACUGGCAGACUAGAGUCUUGGAGAGGGGAGUGGAAUUC